Molecule: ribosomal RNA, 460 nt
Filed under: uncultured bacterium
Lineage: Bacteria
Description: partial 16S ribosomal RNA
Rfam family: Bacterial small subunit ribosomal RNA
Source: RNAcentral
CCUACGGGGGGCAGCGGUGAGGAAUAUUGGUCAAUGGACGAGAGUCUGAACCAGCCAAGUAGCGUGAAGGAUGACUGCCCUAUGGGUUGUAAACUUCUUUUAUAUGGGAAUAAAAUGUUCCACGUGUGGGAUUUUGUAUGUACCAUAUGAAUAAGGAUCGGCUAACUCCGUGCCAGCAGCCGCGGUAAUACGGAGGAUCCGAGCGUUAUCCGGAUUUAUUGGGUUUAAAGGGAGCGUAGGUGGAUUGUUAAGUCAGUUGUGAAAGUUUGCGGCUCAACCGUAAAAUUGCAGUUGAAACUGGCAGUCUUGAGUACAGUAGAGGUGGGCGGAAUUCGUGGUGUAGCGGUGAAAUGCUUAGAUAUCACGAAGAACUCCGAUUGCGAAGGCAGUUCACUGGACUGCAACUGACACUGAGGCUCGAAAGUGUGGGUAUCAAACAGGAUUAGAUACCCUAGUAGUC